GAGAAACUCUCUUCGGGCCGGCGAAGUAGUCCCCUCCUCGGGGGCGAAAUGCCGCGUGGCCCAGAAAUGAAACCGCCCCUGUGAACCGUCGUGGACCGCCCCGGCGGCGAUUCCGCGUCCUCCUACCAAACCAUCGAAGUCGAAGAUGUCGUCUAUCAUAACCUAACA
Molecule: unclassified non-coding RNA, 168 nt
Filed under: uncultured fungus
Lineage: Eukaryota; Fungi
Description: sequence contains ITS1, 5.8S rRNA gene
Source: RNAcentral